This 228-nucleotide ribosomal RNA is filed under the name uncultured bacterium. RNAcentral describes it as "partial 16S ribosomal RNA". It matches the Rfam family "Bacterial small subunit ribosomal RNA", at positions 118 to 346 of the family's 1533-position model. The record is from RNAcentral.
UGAGCAAUCUGCCCUUCUCUUCGGAAUAAGCGUUGGAAACGACGUCUAAUGCCGAAUACGACCUCCUUUCGCAUGAUCGGAGGUGGAAAGCUCCGGCGGAGAAGGAUGAGCUCGCGGCCUAUCAGCUAGUUGGUGUGGGUAAUGGCCCACCAAGGCGACGACGGGUAGCUGGUCUGAGAGGAUGGCCGGCCACAUUGGGACUGAGACACGGCCCAGCUCCGUAGGAGG